Long non-coding RNA from Chenopodium quinoa (quinoa), 1074 nucleotides. RefSeq lists it as uncharacterized. Lineage: Eukaryota; Viridiplantae; Streptophyta; Magnoliopsida; Caryophyllales; Amaranthaceae. The transcript has 2 exons. The record is from RefSeq and is a predicted model, not a curated record.
AUUUAUCAAAAAUAAUGUGAUACAAAUUCUAUCUCAAUUUACAAUUAACAAAUAAUCUGAUUACAUAUUCAUAAUCAGCCUAUAUCUAAAUAACUAAUGAUGCAAAUUAUCGUUAUAUAAUUUGCCAUUGAUUAUUUCUUAUUUUGCUACUACUCUCCUUCUUUUUCUCUCCUUUUAUUCCUCUCAUUCUUUUUCUCUUCUUUCUUGUAAAUUCUCCUUUAUUUGUUUUUAGCAAACUCUAAUAAUAAGGAGGAAUAUUAUCCAACAUUAUCUUGGGAAUGAUCAUCCCGUAUCUUAUAGUACAUGAGAUCAAGAAGAUGCCCAAGUUUGGAUAUUGAAACAUCCCUACUUUUACCAUCUCCUAGCAUCUUCACAACUUCUGACAUUUGAGGCCGAAGAUCGGCUAUCUCUUGCACACAAAGCAAGCCCACCUUAAGAAGUUCGAUAGGUUCUUCUUCGGGGUAAUCUCCGUCAAGUGAGGGAUCCACCAGCUGUUGAAGGUUAUUAGAUUUGUAUGCAUCUUUUUGCUCUAAGUUGCAGUCCACGGCUUUGUGUCCGCUAACAAUAUGCUAUCCCAAAACUAUAUGAGCGCACCCCAGUUACUCUUCAUGAGUAACGUUCUUUGUUUCUCUAGUGGCAUUUUGGAGAUUAUUUGCAUCUUUGGUUGCUGAGUGGACAAACGUGGGGACAUGCUUUAGUGGCAUUUUGGAUGCUUAGUUGGCAAUUUUUGCUAAGUAUUUGUGAUGGCGUUAAAAGUUAAACAAACGAUUGCUUCUGGGAGUAAACCCAGGAAAUACACAAUUCCUACUUCUCUCUAUCCAAGGUGAUUCCAGAUCUGGCUUUGCUCCUGGUUUGAGGAGAUUUUCGUAUUUAAUCAUCGGUGAAUUGAAGUAGAGGUUAGUCAAUUUGUUUCAUUACCCUCGUUUAUCUAGUCUAAGGUUCUUUGUUGUGGGUUGUAAUCAUGUGUGAGUUGCGAAAGGAGUUUUUUUUUUUUAGUAAUUGAACUUAAAUUUAUGAUAUAGUCAUGUGGUUUAAGUUGUUUCUUGUGAUUUAGGUGAUUCUUCUGUUUGUAUU